CCUCCUUUCCUCAUCAGUUAUUAAUAUUGGUCAAUGGGCGGGAUCCUGAACCAGCCAAGCCGCGUGAGGGAAGAAGGUACAGCGUAUCGUAAAACUCUUUUGUCAGGGAACAAAGGCGGGGACUAGUCCCCGGAUGAGGGAACCUGAAGAAAAAGCAUCGGCUAACUCCGUGCCAGCAGCCGCGGGAAUACGGAGGAUGCGAGCGUUAUCCGGAUUUAUUGGGUUUAAAGGGGGCGCAGGCGGCCUGUUAAGUCAGCGGUAAAAGCCCGGGACGCAACCCCGGCGAGCCGUUGAAACUGUCGGGG
RNAcentral lists this ribosomal RNA (305 nucleotides) under uncultured bacterium. RNAcentral's name for it is "bacterial SSU rRNA". It matches the Rfam family "Bacterial small subunit ribosomal RNA", at positions 338 to 641 of the family's 1533-position model. The record is from RNAcentral.